AUGCCGACGCCGUACAGCGCGGCGGCGCUGCAGCAGCACCAGCGUCUGGUCUCCUCCUCCGGCGGCCUGGCGGCGACGGGGGCCCACAGGUGCGGCGAGCACGACGGGACGGUGCCGCCGGAGGUGGCGCGGCACCACGAGCACGCGGCGCCGGGGGGGCGCUGCUGCUGCUCGGCGGUGGUGCAGCGCGUGGCGGCGCCGGCGGCGGACGUGUGGGCCGUGGUCCGGCGCUUCGACCAGCCGCAGGCGUACAAGAGCUUCGUGCGCAGCUGCGCGCUGCUGGACGGCGACGGCGGCGUGGGCACGCUGCGCGAGGUGCGCGUGGUGUCGGGCCUCCCCGCGGCGUCCAGCCGGGAGCGGCUGGAGAUCCUGGACGACGAGCGGCACGUGCUGAGCUUCAGCGUGGUGGGCGGCGAGCACCGGCUCCGCAACUACCGGUCGGUGACCACGGUGCACCCGGCGCCGGGGGAGAGCGCGUCGGCGACGCUGGUGGUGGAGUCGUACGUGGUGGACGUGCCCCCCGGGAACACGCCCGAGGACACCCGCGUCUUCGUGGACACCAUCGUCAAGUGCAACCUCCAGUCCCUCGCCCGCACCGCCGAGAAGCUCGCCGGCCGGGGGGCGGCCUACGGCGCGCUGCCGUGA
This 645-nucleotide ribosomal RNA is filed under the name Triticum aestivum (bread wheat). Its description in RNAcentral is "partial small subunit ribosomal RNA". The record is from RNAcentral. Lineage: Eukaryota; Viridiplantae; Streptophyta; Magnoliopsida; Poales; Poaceae.